UGGAAGUAAAAGUCGUAACAAGGUCUCCGUAGGUGAACCUGCGGAGGGAUCAUUUACAAGUGACCCCGGUUUACCACCGGGAUGUUCAUAACCCUUUGUUGUCCGACUCUGUUGCCUCCGGGGCGACCCUGCCUUCGGGCGGGGGCUCCGGGUGGACACUUCAAACUCUUGCGUAACUUUGCAGUCUGAGUAAAUUUAAUUAAUAAAUUAAAACUUUCAACAACGGAUCUCUUGGUUCUGGCAUCGAUGAAGAACGCAGCGAAAUGCGAUAAGUAAUGUGAAUUGCAGAAUUCAGUGAAUCAUCGAAUCUUUGAACGCACAUUGCGCCCCCUGGUAUUCCGGGGGGCAUGCCUGUUCGAGCGUCAUUUCACCACUCAAGCCUCGCUUGGUAUUGGGCAACGCGGUCCGCCGCGUGCCUCAAAUCGACCGGCUGGGUCUUCUGUCCCCUAAGCGUUGUGGAAACUAUUCGCUAAAGGUGGUUCGGGAGGCUACGCCGUAAAACAACCCCAUUUCUAAGGUUGACCUCGGAUCAGGUAGGGAUACCCGCUGAACUUAAGCAUAUCAAUAAGCGGAGGAAAAGAAACCAACAAGGGAUUGCUCUAGUAACGGCGAGUGAAGCAGCAAUAGCUCAAAUUUGAAAUCUGGCGUCUUCGGCGUCCGAGUUGUAAUUUAA
RNAcentral lists this ribosomal RNA (673 nucleotides) under Cladophialophora bantiana. RNAcentral describes it as "eukaryotic LSU rRNA". The stretch from base 212 to 365 matches the Rfam family "5.8S ribosomal RNA". The record is from RNAcentral. Lineage: Eukaryota; Fungi; Ascomycota; Eurotiomycetes; Chaetothyriales; Herpotrichiellaceae.